AGUCGAACGAAGCGCUUAACGGAUUCUUCGGAUUGAAGUUUUUGCGACUGAGUGGCGGACGGGUGAGUAACGCGUGGGUAACCUGCCUCAUACAGGGGGAUAACAGUUAGAAAUGACCGCUAAUACCGCAUAAGCGCACAGUGCUGCAUGGCACAGUGUGAAAAACUCCGGUGGUAUGAGAUGGACCCGCGUCUGAUUAGCUAGUUGGUGGGGUAACGGCCUACCAAGGCGACGAUCAGUAGCCGGCCUGAGAGGGUGAACGGCCACAUUGGGGCUGAGACACGGCCCAAACUCCUACGGGAGGCAGCAGUGGGGAAUAUUGCACAAUGGGGGAAACCCUGAUGCAGCGACGCCGCGUGAGCGAAGAAGUAUUUCGGUAUGUAAAGCUCUAUCAGCAGGGAAGAAAAUGACGGUACCUGACUAAGAAGCACCGGCUAAAUACGUGCCAGCAGCCGCGGUAAUACGUAUGGUGCAAGCGUUAUCCGGAUUUACUGGGUGUAAAGGGAGCGUAGACGGUUGUGUAAGUCUGAUGUGAAAGCCCGGGGCUCAACCCCGGGACUGCAUUGGAAACUAUGUAACUAGAGUGUCGGAGAGGUAAGCGGAAUUCCUAGUGUAGCGGUGAAAUGCGUAGAUAUUAGGAGGAACACCAGUGGCGAAGGCGGCUUACUGGACGAUCACUGACGUUGAGGCUCGAAAGCGUGGGGAGCAAACAGG
Molecule: ribosomal RNA, 714 nt
Filed under: uncultured Lachnospiraceae bacterium
Lineage: Bacteria; Bacillati; Bacillota; Clostridia; Lachnospirales; Lachnospiraceae
Description: bacterial SSU rRNA
Rfam family: Bacterial small subunit ribosomal RNA
Source: RNAcentral